Molecule: ribosomal RNA, 429 nt
Filed under: uncultured Bacteroidota bacterium
Lineage: Bacteria; Pseudomonadati; Bacteroidota
Description: bacterial SSU rRNA
Rfam family: Bacterial small subunit ribosomal RNA
Source: RNAcentral
GGAAUCUUGGUCAAUUGGCGAAAGCCAGAACCAGUCAUGCCGCGUGCAGGAUGAAGGCCCUACGGGUCGUAAACUGCUUUUAUUCGGGAAGAAAAAGUCUGUUUCCACAGACCUUGACGGUACCGAUUGAAUAAGGACCGGCCAACUCCGUGCCAGCAGCCGCGGUAAUACGGAGGGUCCAAGCGUUAUCCGGAUUCACUGGGUUUAAAGGGUGCGCAGGCGGCCAAGUAAGUCAGUGGUGAAAGCCUUCGGCUCAACCGGAGAAUUGCCAUUGAAACUACUUGGCUUGAGUGCAGCAGAGGUAGGCGGAAUGUAGCAUGUAGCGGUGAAAUGCAUAGAUAUGCUACAGAACACCGAUAGCGAAAGCAGCUUACCACACUGUAACUGACGCUGAGGCACGAAAGCAUGGGUAGCAAACAGGAUUAGAUA